This 868-nucleotide ribosomal RNA is filed under the name Actinobacteridae bacterium TEMPHRAG4D01. RNAcentral's name for it is "bacterial SSU rRNA". It matches the Rfam family "Bacterial small subunit ribosomal RNA", at positions 36 to 920 of the family's 1533-position model. Lineage: Bacteria; Bacillati; Actinomycetota; Actinomycetes. The record is from RNAcentral.
AUUGCGGCAGCUUACCAUGCAGUCGAGCGGUGAAGGAGAGCUUGCUCUUUGGAUCAGUGGCGAACGGGUGAGUAACACGUGAGCAAUCUGCCCCUGACUCUGGGAUAACAGUUGGAAACAGCUGCUAAUACCGGAUAUGAGACGUGACCGCAUGGUCGACGUUUGGAAAGAAUUUCGGUCAGGGAUGAGCUCGCGGCCUAUCAGCUUGUUGGUGAGGUAAUGGCUCACCAAGGCGUCGACGGGUAGCCGGCCUGAGAGGGUGACCGGCCACACUGGGACUGAGACACGGCCCAGACUCCUACGGGAGGCAGCAGUGGGGAAUAUUGCACAAUGGGCGAAAGCCUGAUGCAGCAACGCCGCGUGAGGGACGACGGCCUUCGGGUUGUAAACCUCUUUUAGCAGGGAAGAAGCGAAAGUGACGGUACCUGCAGAAAAAGCGCCGGCUAACUACGUGCCAGCAGCCGCGGUAAUACGUAGGGCGCAAGCGUUAUCCGGAAUUAUUGGGCGUAAAGAGCUCGUAGGCGGUUUGUCGCGUCUGCUGUGAAAACUGGAGGCUCAACCUCCAGCCUGCAGUGGGUACGGGCAGACUAGAGUGCGGUAGGGGAGAUUGGAAUUCCUGGUGUAGCGGUGGAAUGCGCAGAUAUCAGGAGGAACACCGAUGGCGAAGGCAGAUCUCUGGGCCGUAACUGACGCUGAGGAGCGAAAGGGUGGGGAGCAAACAGGCUUAGAUACCCUGGUAGUCCACCCCGUAAACGUUGGGAACUAGUUGUGGGGUCCAUUCCACGGAUUCCGUGACGCAGCUAACGCAUUUAAGUUCCCCGCCUGGGGAGUACGGCCCGCAAAGGCUAAAACUCAAAGGAAAUUGGAC